GGUUAAGCGACUAAGCGUACACGGUGGAUGCCCUGGCAGUCAGAGGCGAUGAAGGACGUGCUAAUCUGCGAUAAGCGUCGGUAAGGUGAUAUGAACCGUUAUAACCGGCGAUUUCCGAAUGGGGAAACCCAGUGUGUUUCGACACACUAUCAUUAACUGAAUCCAUAGGUUAAUGAGGCGAACCGGGGGAACUGAAACAUCUAAGUACCCCGAGGAAAAGAAAUCAACCGAGAUUCCCCCAGUAGCGGCGAGCGAACGGGGAGCAGCCCAGAGCCUGAAUCAGUGUGUGUGUUAGUGGAAGCGUCUGGAAAGGCGCGCGAUACAGGGUGACAGCCCCGUACACAAAAAUGCACAUGCUGUGAGCUCGAUGAGUAGGGCGGGACACGUGGUAUCCUGUCUGAAUAUGGGGGGACCAUCCUCCAAGGCUAAAUACUCCUGACUGACCGAUAGUGAACCAGUACCGUGAGGGAAAGGCGAAAAGAACCCCGGCGAGGGGAGUGAAAAAGAACCUGAAACCGUGUACGUACAAGCAGUGGGAGCACGCUUAGGCGUGUGACUGCGUACCUUUUGUAUAAUGGGUCAGCGACUUAUAUUCUGUAGCAAGGUUAACCGAAUAGGGGAGCCGAAGGGAAACCGAGUCUUAACUGGGCGUUAAGUUGCAGGGUAUAGACCCGAAACCCGGUGAUCUAGCCAUGGGCAGGUUGAAGGUUGGGUAACACUAACUGGAGGACCGAACCGACUAAUGUUGAAAAAUUAGCGGAUGACUUGUGGCUGGGGGUGAAAGGCCAAUCAAACCGGGAGAUAGCUGGUUCUCCCCGAAAGCUAUUUAGGUAGCGCCUCGUGAAUUCAUCUCUGGGGGUAGAGCACUGUUUCGGCAAGGGGGUCAUCCCGACUUACCAACCCGAUGCAAACUGCGAAUACCGGAGAAUGUUAUCACGGGAGACACACGGCGGGUGCUAACGUCCGUCGUGAAGAGGGAAACAACCCAGACCGCCAGCUAAGGUCCCAAAGUCAUGGUUAAGUGGGAAACGAUGUGGGAAGGCCCAGACAGCCAGGAUGUUGGCUUAGAAGCAGCCAUCAUUUAAAGAAAGCGUAAUAGCUCACUGGUCGAGUCGGCCUGCGCGGAAGAUGUAACGGGGCUAAACCAUGCACCGAAGCUGCGGCAGCGACGCUUAUGCGUUGUUGGGUAGGGGAGCGUUCUGUAAGCCUG
This 1210-nucleotide ribosomal RNA is filed under the name Escherichia coli. RNAcentral's name for it is "partial 23S ribosomal RNA". It matches the Rfam family "Bacterial large subunit ribosomal RNA", at positions 1 to 1251 of the family's 2925-position model. The record is from RNAcentral. Lineage: Bacteria; Pseudomonadati; Pseudomonadota; Gammaproteobacteria; Enterobacterales; Enterobacteriaceae.